This 72-nucleotide transfer RNA is filed under the name Cavia porcellus (domestic guinea pig). It matches the Rfam family "tRNA". Rfam says of the family: Transfer RNA (tRNA) molecules are approximately 80 nucleotides in length. Their secondary structure includes four short double-helical elements and three loops (D, anti-codon, and T loops). The record is from Rfam by way of RNAcentral. Lineage: Eukaryota; Metazoa; Chordata; Mammalia; Rodentia; Caviidae.
GGGGAUAUAGCUGAGCGGCACAGUGUCUGCCUGACAAGCACAAGGUCCUGAGUUGAGUUCCUGGUACCUCCC